Molecule: long non-coding RNA, 464 nt
Organism: Phyllopteryx taeniolatus (common seadragon)
Lineage: Eukaryota; Metazoa; Chordata; Actinopteri; Syngnathiformes; Syngnathidae
Exons: 3
Source: RefSeq, a predicted model, not a curated record
ACUAAACUGGAAGUAACUGAGGCGUUAACUUCCGGCUUACUCUUUGUCAAAAUCCGCUACAAAAUCAUUACUUUUCUGUUUCCUCUGUUGCCUCUGUCUUUUUAUUUCAGGACUGGGCGUGCUCAGGUGUGCUGAGCUCCUCACGCAGCUGUCUUCAACCUGCAUUUUAACCUCUGGUCUGACUUCCACUCCUCGCCAGAAUGUCCUUGUUACUUGCAUGCAGCUUGUUGUGAAGUGAGUUGAGUUCACCGCCACCAUACAGCAGACGUGCUCGCAAGCCGAAGCAAAAAAUCAGCAGAACGGUGGCUCGUAUCUCGGAAAACACUAGGCCACCACACAAAUGAUGCCAACCACCAACAAGGCCACACAGAUUCCUGUGAUCGUCAGCACCCGCCUUUGGUAGAGCUCCUCGGCCUCUGUGAAAGAAAACGCACACACGUGCAAAUACACACAUUCAUACGCAC